CUGGGUCGGGAUAAACCCGGGAAACUGGGUAUAAUGUCCGAUAGAUCUGGAGGCUGGAAUGCGUCCAGGUUCAAAGCUCCGGCGCCCAAGGAUGGGUCUGCGGCCUAUCAGGUUGUAGUGGGUGUAAUGUACCUACUAGCCUAAAACGGGUACGGGUUGUGAGAGCAAGAGCCCGGAGAUGGAUUCUGAGACACGAAUCCAGGCCCUACGGGGUGCAGCAGGCGCGAAACCUUUACAAUGCGGGCAACCGCGAUAAGGGGACCUCGAGUGCCGACAUCUAAUGUCGGCUGUCGUGAUGCCUAAAAAGCAUUAUAUAGCAAGGGCCGGGCAAGACCGGUGCCAGCCGCCGCGGUAACACCGGCGGCUCGAGUGGUGACCGCUAUUAUUGGGUUUAAAGGGUCUGUAGCCGGCCGGAUAAGUCUCUUGGGAAAUCUGGCCGCUUAACGGUCAGGCUUUCAGGAGAUACUGUCUGGCUCGAGGCCGGGAGAGGUGAGAGGUACUUCAGGGGUAGGGGUGAAAUCUUGUAAUCCUUGAAGGACCACCAGUGGCGAAGGCGUCUCACCAAAACGGACCUGACGGCAAGGGACGAAAGCUAGGGGCACGAACCGGAUUAGAUACCCGGGUAGUCCUAGCCGUAAACGAUACUCGCUAGGUGUCGGCCGCGGUGCGACCGUGGUCGGUGCCGUAGGGAAACCGUGAAGCGAGCCACCUGGGAAGUACGGCC
RNAcentral lists this ribosomal RNA (724 nucleotides) under uncultured archaeon. RNAcentral describes it as "bacterial SSU rRNA". It matches the Rfam family "Archaeal small subunit ribosomal RNA", at positions 115 to 842 of the family's 1478-position model. The record is from RNAcentral.